CUUUGAUUGAUAUGUAUGCAAAAUCAGGGCAUUCAUCCAAAGCAUCCAAUGUGUUCUACCUAAUGCCUGAAAAGAAUGUUGUUUCUUGGAAUGCCAUGGUCGCUAAUUUUGCUCAAAACAGGCUUGAAUUAUUAGCUAUAGAGUUAGUGAGACAAAUGCAAAUUGAUGGCGAGAUUCCAAAUUUGGUCACCUUCACAAAUGUUCUUCCGGCUUGUGCACGAAUGGGAUUCCUUCGUCCUGGAAAAGAAGUCCAUGCAAGGAUAAUCCGCAUCGGCUGCCAUUUUGAUUUGUUUGUCUCCAACGCACUUACAGAUAUGUAUGCAAAAUGUGGUUACCUAAAUCUUGCUCAACGUGUCUUUAACACCUCCCUUAAAGAUGAAGUAUCUUAUAACAUUUUAAUUAUAGGAUAUUCUGAAACGACUAAUUGCUCAGAAUCUCUUGGUUUAUUCUUAGAAAUGGGGCUUAUAGGUUUGAAGCAUGAUGUAGUUUCCUACAUGGGUGCUAUUGCAGCUUGUGCAAAUCUAGCUGCAUUGAAGCAAGGAAAAGAGAUCCAUGGAUUAGUUGUAAGAAAGCAUUUGCACAUGCAUAUCUUCAUUGCUAACACAUUUUUGGACUUCUAUGUCAAAUGUGGGCGAAUUGAUCUUGCCCAUAAGAUCUUUGAUCGGACUCCAGACAAGGACGCAGCCUCUUGGAAUACUAUGGUUUUAGGUUAUGGAAUGCUAGGUGAGUUGAAGAUUGCCAUCAAUCUCUUUGAAGCAAUGAAAGAAGAUGGAGUUGAAAAUGAUUCAGUAUCAUACAUUGCAGUCUUGUCAGCUUGUAGUCAUGGUGGGCUAGUUGAAAAGGGAAAGAAAUACUUUGAGAAAAUGCUGGCUCAGAAUAUUAAGCCAACAAACAUGCACUAUGCUUGUAUGGUUGAUCUGCUUGGCAGGGCUGGACUAUUGGAAGAAGCUGUAAAAUUCAUUGAAGUCUUGCCUAUUGAACCAGACGCCAAUAUUUGGGGUGCUUUGCUUGGGGCAUGCCGAAUCUAUGGGAAUAUAGAGUUGGCGUGUUGGGCAGCUGAACAUCUGUUUAAGUUAAAGCCACAACAUUGUGGAUACUACGCAAUUCUUUCAAACAUGUAUUCAGAAGCAGGAAAAUGGGAUGAAGCAGACAGGGUAAGGGAAUUGAUGAAGUUAAGGGGUGCACAGAAGAACCCUGGUUGCAGUUGGGUCCAAAUUGACAACCAGACUGCAACCAGGUUCAUGCUUUCGUAUCAGGAGAAAAAAUAACAAAAUUCAAUUCAGGUUCUUGGCUUGCAGAAUCAUGAUAAAGUUAUCAGACAUCACGGUUGAGUUUGAAGGCUCAUUAGAAAGAGAGCUCGGUCUCCUUAGCAUUUUUUUCCCCUUUUUGGGAUACAGUGUAAGAGAUGAAGCAGGAUUCUCUAUUGUGAAUAUCUGUUGUCAAUUGUGUAUUUUUCAUCCAUAUUUCUCAUAUGAAAUUUCAGGACAUGUAGCUCAUGUUCCAAGGGAUUGUAGAUCUCUACUUGUGUUAAGCCCUGGACAAGUCAUCCAUGCAAUGCAUGUCUGCAACCUAGCCACUGCAAGAAACUCCGGAACAAAGAACUGUAAGAAUCAACAGAAGGCAUCAAACUUCUCUAUUUACUCAAGCUGGAG
This 1652-nucleotide unclassified non-coding RNA is filed under the name Hevea brasiliensis (rubber tree). The record is from RNAcentral. Lineage: Eukaryota; Viridiplantae; Streptophyta; Magnoliopsida; Malpighiales; Euphorbiaceae.